CACGGCUAUUUGAAUUCGAGUAUUUUGGCCAGUGCCGCAUGGCGGCCCAGUUGAAUAAUAGGCGGUCAUGGGUUGUAAAGUAAUGGCGCGAUGUUGGCGAGGGUGAUGUUGAUGGUGCUUAUGAUCAUGGCGAUCAUGGCGGUGGAAACCAUGUGGAGUAGGGCGGUGGCCGCCAUAAUCUCGCAUGUCGCUGAAGUCCUGAAGUCCGAUGCCUUAUGUCGCCUGACCGCUUUUGAGCACGGGCAGGGGCUGGGGCCGCUGCCCCCCCCUGCGCGCCUGUGGGGGCCCAAGGCGAGGUGGAGCAGGGAUGCAGGGAUUACGAAGCUCUCUAGUUGCCCCCGCGCAAGUUUGCCCCCAGCUCUGUUAUGAUGGACUAAUAGGGUAAAGGUGUGUCAGGAAGUUAUGGAGGUGAACGUCGAAGGGUUUUUUCACUAGCUAUCUUGGUACAGGUGGUGGCUGACAGCGGUCGGGGACACGGACCUAUACAUCGUGGUGGCUGACAGUGUGAUAUCGGACACUCCCAAGCUUUCCGUCGGCGACCUUACCUUUACAAUCUAGCUGAUGUUUACAUGCCAUGCUGGGCCAUUCCGAGUUUGAGGUGCACAUCAAACACCUUGGCCACGCUUUUGGAUUUUAGUCUGCCAGCAACAGUGUCGACUAACAGCCUAACUAACUUGCCAGCAGACCUGAUCGCGCGGCGCCUGAUUCGAGCUAAGAAUGACGAGUUUCCCAGUAGUUGUGACUGUGUGCGGCUUUGGAGUCUGGAAGAUUACCUUUCCACUCACGCCCUCUAGUCAGCGGUGCCUCAUCCGGCAGCUGCGUGGCGCCUGAUAUGGUUCACAUAUGCACAUUGAAUGAUUCC
RNAcentral lists this long non-coding RNA (862 nucleotides) under Volvox carteri. RNAcentral describes it as "long non-coding RNA (VCAR_LNC002356)". The record is from RNAcentral. Lineage: Eukaryota; Viridiplantae; Chlorophyta; Chlorophyceae; Chlamydomonadales; Volvocaceae.